Molecule: ribosomal RNA, 501 nt
Filed under: uncultured bacterium
Lineage: Bacteria
Description: partial 16S ribosomal RNA
Rfam family: Bacterial small subunit ribosomal RNA
Source: RNAcentral
AUUGAACGCUGGCGGCAUGCCUUACACAUGCAAGUCGAACGGCAGCACGGGUGCUUGCACCUGGUGGCGAGUGGCGAACGGGUGAGUAAUACAUCGGAACGUACCUUAUCGUGGGGGAUAACGCAGCGAAAGUUACGCUAAUACCGCAUACGCCCUGAGGGGGAAAGCGGGGGACCGUAAGGCCUCGCGCGAUUAGAGCGGCCGAUGUCUGAUUAGCUUGUUGGUGAGGUAAAAGCUCACCAAGGCGAUGAUCAGUAGCUGGUCUGAGAGGACGAUCAGCCACACUGGGACUGAGACACGGCCCAGACUCCUACGGGAGGCAGCAGUGGGGAAUUUUGGACAAUGGGGGCAACCCUGAUCCAGCAAUGCCGCGUGGGUGAAGAAGGCCUUCGGGUUGUAAAGCUCUUUUGUCAGGGAAGAAACAGCAGCUCUAACACAGUCUGCGAAUGACGGUACCUGAAGAAUAGGCACCGGCUAACUACGUGCCAGCAGCCGCGGUAA